GUUUUGACUGAGAAAAAGAGGAGUAACUAUUAACAUCUGACAGAGAUUUGUGUACAUAGGCUGAGAUGCACAUUGAGAAAAGUGAUAGUGAAGGUAGCUUUGGAGUCAUCAGGCUGAAUAGUUAGGUCUGGCGUAGGAUUGCGUUAAAUCAUUUAAGUGCCUGUGUAAGCAGGAAUUAAGGUGGUACCGCGAUGCUUUCGUCCUUUGU
Molecule: non-coding RNA, 208 nt
Filed under: Eubacterium sp.
Lineage: Bacteria; Bacillati; Bacillota; Clostridia; Eubacteriales; Eubacteriaceae
Description: T-box sequence
Rfam family: T-box leader
About the family: Uncharged tRNA acts as the effector for transcription antitermination of genes in the T-box leader family. T-boxes are found upstream of many aminoacyl-tRNA synthetase genes and some amino acid biosynthetic genes usually in Gram-positive bacteria.
Source: RNAcentral